AUGGCGGAGUUCGCGCUUGGUCUGACCAAGACGGCGGUGGAGGGGACGGUGAGCAGGGUGAAGUCAGCCAUCGAUGAGGAGGCGAAGCUGCGGAUUCGAGUGCAGAAUGAUUUGGUGUUCAUCACUGGCGAGUUCGAAAUGAUGCAAUCAUUUCUCAACGCUGCCAACAAGGAACGGGCAAACACCCAAGUGGUGAGGACCUGGGUGAGGCACGUCCGUGACCUGGCCUUGGAUGUGGAGGAUUGCCUCGAGUUUGUUGUCCACCUCGACAACAAGUCAACCUGGUCCUGGUUGUGGCGCGUGCUGCCGGACUGCAUGGCACCGGUGCGGCCUCUGGAUGUGGCGGUCGCGGAUAUUCAGCGGCUCAAGGCGAGGGUGGAGGAUGUAAGCCAGAGGAACACCCGCUACAACCUCAUUGGUGACUCUGGCUCCCACUCCAACUCAAAGCCUACAGUAGUUACUACUGUCUCAUCUUUGACGACGGAGCUUAUGCCUGAUUCUGGCCCAGCAGCGGCAUUCCGCAUCCUGCACAAGGUGUGGGAGGCCACAGAUAAGAUACGGCCUGAUAUGGGUGACCUCAGGAAGUUGAUCACCAAUGAAGGUAGUGACCUUGAGGUUAUCUCUGUAUGUGGAAGCCCAGGAGCAUCUGAUCUUGGGGUGACACACGUCCUCAGGGAGGCUUACAAUGACCCAAAAAUCUGCCAAGAAUUCACAAGCCGAGCCUGGGUAAAGCUGACGCAUCCUUUUAACCUCAAUGAGUUCAUCAAAAUCUUGCUCACUCAAUUCUAUGCUAGCUCUAACCGAGCAAGUGUAGGAGUAGCAGGCUUCCGAAAAAAUAUGAAAGAAGCGGUGGCCAAGGAAGAUGAGCUCAUGCAGCAAGUGAGCCAGCUGAGGUAUCUCGUUAUCGUGGAACAACUAUCCUCUGUGGUAGAGUGGGAUGCCAUCAGAAUGUACCUACCGGAAAGUAAAAACGGCAGCCGGAUUGUCGUGACGACAAAGCAGUUGGGUCUUGCUUUCUCGUGCACGGGGAAUCCCUAUCAAGUAUCGAACCUCAGACAACUCUCCGGUGGCCAAUCUCUUUGUGCCUUCUUCAACAAGGUCUCUGAACAUCGUAGUGACAUGGGUGAACUCAUUUGGCAAUUAAGACAUGUUGUUGGUGUGAUCUCUGUGCAGAAGCAUCCUGAUCUAAGGUCAUCAACUCUUAUUGAUAAGGCGUACACAGGCGUAACAAAUAAGUCAAAAGAAUUUGAGGAAGUUAAAUUUGAACGACACAGCUGGGUCGAUGUACCUUAUUCCUUUAGUUUGGGUGUCUUUGCUCGGCAUUUAUUUUUGAAUUUUCAUUCAAAUGAUCUUCGAGCCAAGAAAAUUAUAGCAGCUGGUACAAUGGGAGACACAGGCGUCAUUCAAGGGUGUCAUAAGUUUCUCAGGGAAGACAGGUGCCUCGUGGUUAUUAAUGGUCUGGACUCGACAGAUAGUUGGGACCAAAUAAAAGCUGCCUUUUUAUCAGAGCCUACUAAGAGUUGUAUCCUUGUCAUUACAAAGGAAGCAAGUGUGGCCAGAUACUGUGUAGGCGAAACUGAUCGUCCAGCGCUCAACACCAAAGAUUUGGAAGCCGACGUGGUACUUCGUCGCUCAAUGAAGGGUUGUGAGUAUAAUGGACUUGGAGCCAAGGAGGCCUCUAGCAGGGGCCGAUUUUUCUGCAACAGAAGGGAAGAAGCGCAUGUCUGGACUAGUAAAUUUAAACUUAUUGUAGAUCCACAUAAUGUGUAUUACCCACGCCUCCGGCAUUGUUUACAACAACAUGGUACAAUUUCCUUGUGUGGGGACGAAGCUUGGAGAUCGGCUCUUGCCAGGAAAAUUUACUACAACCAAAUGCUUAUUGCACAUGAAGAUGGUAUACCACCCACUGUACGGGUAAAAGAUGGAAAGAAAUUGGAUUCCGGAUUUACAAAGUUCAGUUGGGUUGAUGUACCACACCCGUUCGAUUUGAUGGACUUCUCUUGGCGCUUAUCUUUGGAUUUUCACUCAGAUGAUCUCAAAGCAAAGCAAAAUGCGAUUUUCGGUCUGAUGGAAGGGCGCCAUGACCCAAUUGAAGAGUGCCUUAAUUUUCUUCGACACGACAAGUGUUUGGUUGUUAUUGACGGUCUACAGUCGGAAAAUGAUUGGAACCUCAUAAGAGAUGUAUUAUUCUCCGAGCCUACGAAUGGAUGUAUAAUUGUCAGUACGGGCGAAGAAAGUGUUGCAACACACUGUGUACAUCAUGAAAAUCGAGUGUUCCUUGACAAUGGUCGAGCAGCCGACCUUGCAGCCCAUGUUCAGUCCAGAAAGAAACAGAAAGCUUGCGUCGGCGGCGGCUCUCUUAUUCCAGACAGGCGGGGCGGCGACGGUUCCCCAACGGCGAAAUGUCGACGGACGCACUGGAGCUCAGCGGGAAUUGUGGUGUGUUCCCGAUGGAGUCCCAAGAUUCCAUGA
RNAcentral lists this ribosomal RNA (2472 nucleotides) under Triticum aestivum (bread wheat). RNAcentral's name for it is "partial small subunit ribosomal RNA". Lineage: Eukaryota; Viridiplantae; Streptophyta; Magnoliopsida; Poales; Poaceae. The record is from RNAcentral.